CCCUACGGGGGGCAGCAGUGAGGAAUAUUGGUCAAUGGACGAGAGUCUGAACCAGCCAAGUAGCGUGAAGGAUGACUGCCCUAUGGGUUGUAAACUUCUUUUAUAAAGGAAUAAAACGAGGCACGUGUGACUUUUUGCAUGUACUUUAUGAAUAAGGAUCGGCUAACUCCGUGCCAGCAGCCGCGGUAAUACGGAGGAUCCGAGCGUUAUCCGGAUUUAUUGGGUUUAAAGGGAGCGUAGAUGGGUUGUUAAGUCAGUUGUGAAAGUUUGCGGCUCAACCGUAAAAUUGCAAUUGAUACUGGCAGUCUUGAGUACAGUUGAGGUAGGCGGAAUUCGUGGUGUAGCGGUGAAAUGCUUAGAUAUCACGAAGAACCCCGAUUGCGAAGGCAGCUUACUAAACUGUGACUGACAUUGAUGCUCGAAAGUGUGGGUAUCAAACAGGAUUAGAUACCCUUGUAGUC
RNAcentral lists this ribosomal RNA (461 nucleotides) under uncultured bacterium. RNAcentral's name for it is "partial 16S ribosomal RNA". It matches the Rfam family "Bacterial small subunit ribosomal RNA", at positions 337 to 795 of the family's 1533-position model. The record is from RNAcentral.